ACGGGAGGCAGCAGUGGGGAAUAUUGCACAAUGGGCGCAAGCCUGAUGCAGCAACGCCGCGUGAAGGAAGAAGGUUUUCGGAUCGUAAACUUCUGUCCUUGGGGAAGAAACAAAUGACGGUACCCUUGGAGGAAGCCCCGGCUAACUACGUGCCAGCAGCCGCGGUAAUACGUAGGGGGCAAGCGUUAUCCGGAAUUAUUGGGCGUAAAGAGUACGUAGGUGGUUAUCUAAGCGCAGGGUGAAAGGCAAUGGCUUAACCAUUGUUAGCCCUGCGAACUGGACUACUUGAGUGCAGGAGGGGAAAGUGGAAUUCCUAGUGUAGCGGUGAAAUGCGUAGAUAUUAGGAGGAACACCAGUGGCGAAGGCGACUUUCUGGACUGUUACUGACACUGAGGUACGAAAGCGUGGGGAGCAAACAGGAUUAGAUACCCUGGUA
This 436-nucleotide ribosomal RNA is filed under the name uncultured Anaerovorax sp. Its description in RNAcentral is "partial 16S ribosomal RNA". It matches the Rfam family "Bacterial small subunit ribosomal RNA", at positions 341 to 792 of the family's 1533-position model. The record is from RNAcentral. Lineage: Bacteria; Bacillati; Bacillota; Clostridia; Peptostreptococcales; Anaerovoracaceae.